Molecule: long non-coding RNA, 807 nt
Organism: Mus pahari (shrew mouse)
Lineage: Eukaryota; Metazoa; Chordata; Mammalia; Rodentia; Muridae
Exons: 3
Source: RefSeq, a predicted model, not a curated record
AGAAGCUGAGACGUUACAUCCACAACUAUGAGGUGAAGAGAGAUAAUUGCAAUAGUGUGGGCUUUUGAAACCUCAUGGGCCACCCUCAGUGACACACCCUCUCCAGUAAGGCCACAUCUUCCUGAACAGUUCCACUAACUGGGGACCAAGUAUUGAAACAUACUAAAGUCACAUCAGAUAAGAGUUCUCUCUUGAAGACCCCAGACAAAGGAACAAAGUGGGUGGAUGAUAGGGGACACCUCGUGAACAGCCUUCCCCACACACCUCAGGGGUCUGUCUUCUUGGAGCAUGAAAGUUAUGCUUCAUUUCCUGUGUCAGAGAGGUCCCAACUCAGGCCUUGGGUCUGGGGAGAUGCCAAGGCCAGCAGUGGGUAAAUAUUUGUUCCCUCAUGCUUAUGGGCUUGGGUCCUGCUAGGUUUAGAGGCAGGGGUUGAGACUCUUAAGGCAGACUUGAGGAUCUAGGCACCUACAUCCAUUAAGGUUAGGAAUUCAGAAGCAGUAGGCCGUAAGCACUCACAUUCCUCUCAGGCAGCAUGGAUCCAGUUCUAGCCAUAUUCAUAGGUGGAGUAGAGCUACAGCUGGUCCCUACCACACCCAGCCCAGUGUGCAGUGUCAGGGGCAAAAUCCACUUUGUGGGUCAAACGUCUAAGCUUUGCAAGGCAAGGAGUUUAGCAUCAAGAGUGGUCCAUGGCUGUCUGCCCACCCACUGCUGGGACAGAAGCAGCUCUCAGCCACAGCCACCCCCAUCAAUCAAUAUUUUUAAUUACCUUUACAUGAUUGACUAAUAAAAUUCUCCACUGACUAAUUG